AUGGUUCAAAGGCCAGGAAAUACAUCGAAUCAAUCUACAUUUAUGGCUGUGAUUACAAUAAUAUCACGCACACAAAAUAGAAGAUCACAAGGAAUUGUACAAGUAUUGAGGUUUCUCACUGGUGGUUACAGGAGUAGUUUUGUAAAUUUAGAACCUGCGAUGUACGCUGGAGUAAAUCUCACUGUGAGAUACGUACGAGGAAGCUAUCUUCUACGUGAUGUACUUGGAUUACAACAAAUUAAUGGUGACCUUCUUCUUUCAGGGAAGAUCAAUGGUGAGAUUAUAUAUCUCUGUGACUCUACAAACAUGUAUCCACCAUAA
This 321-nucleotide ribosomal RNA is filed under the name Triticum aestivum (bread wheat). Its description in RNAcentral is "partial small subunit ribosomal RNA". Lineage: Eukaryota; Viridiplantae; Streptophyta; Magnoliopsida; Poales; Poaceae. The record is from RNAcentral.